CAGCAGCCGCGGUAAUACGUAGGGUGCAAGCGUUAAUCGGAAUUACUGGGCGUAAAGCGUGCGCAGGCGGUUAUGUAAGACAGUUGUGAAAUCCCCGGGCUCAACCUGGGAACUGCAUCUGUGACUGCAUAGCUAGAGUACGGUAGAGGGGGAUGGAAUUCCGCGUGUAGCAGUGAAAUGCGUAGAUAUGCGGAGGAACACCGAUGGCGAAGGCAAUCCCCUGGACCUGUACUGACGCUCAUGCACGAAAGCGUGGGGAGCAAACAGGAUUAGAGACCCCUGUAGUCCCUGUCUCUUAUAC
This 301-nucleotide ribosomal RNA is filed under the name uncultured bacterium. Its description in RNAcentral is "partial 16S ribosomal RNA". It matches the Rfam family "Bacterial small subunit ribosomal RNA", at positions 509 to 807 of the family's 1533-position model. The record is from RNAcentral.